RNAcentral lists this ribosomal RNA (1231 nucleotides) under uncultured fungus. Its description in RNAcentral is "eukaryotic LSU rRNA". The stretch from base 597 to 1231 matches the Rfam family "Eukaryotic large subunit ribosomal RNA", at positions 1 to 649 of the family's 3401-position model. Lineage: Eukaryota; Fungi. The record is from RNAcentral.
AAGUCGUAACAAGGUUUCCGUAGGUGAACCUGCGGAAGGAUCAUUACAAGCUAUCAGGGUAUCCAGCCCCUGAGGCUGGCAACGUGCCCGCUCACGCGGGCGCGGGUCGUCGCCCCAACGCCCCUCGCGGGUGCCGUGGUCGGCGGCUGCCGGCUUCUAGCACAACCCUCUGUGAACUCUACCUUUGUUGCUUUGGCGGGCCGCCGUUAGGCUCUCGGCCCCGCGCCGGGACGCGCCCGCCAGAGGACCCAACUCAUGUGUUUAGUGAUGUCUGAGUACUAUAUAAUAGUUAAAACUUUCAACAACGGAUCUCUUGGUUCUGGCAUCGAUGAAGAACGCAGCGAAAUGCGAUAAGUAAUGUGAAUUGCAGAAUUCAGUGAAUCAUCGAAUCUUUGAACGCACAUUGCGCCCCGUGGUAUUCCGCGGGGCAUGCCUGUUCGAGCGUCAUUAGACCAAAUCACGCCUGGCGUGGUCUUGNGGUCUGCCAUCUGGCAACCCUUAAACGCAGUGGCGGCGCCGUAGGGCUCUCAGCGUAGUAAACUUUCUCGCUGUGGGGUCCCCGCGGACGCUUGCCAGCAACCCUCAAUACUCUAGGUUGACCUCGGAUCAGGUAGGGAUACCCGCUGAACUUAAGCAUAUCAAUAAGCGGAGGAAAAGNAACCAACAGGGAUUGCCUCAGUAACGGCGAGUGAAGCGGCAACAGCUCAAAUUUGNAAUCUGGCUCCUUUCGGGGUCCGAGUUGUAAUUUGUAGAAGAUGCUUUGGGUGUGGCCCUGGUCUAAGUUCCUUGGANCAGGACGUCAUAGAGGGUGAGAAUCCCGUAUGUGACUGGGUGCCCACGCCCGUGUAAAGCUCUUUCGACGAGUCGAGUUGUUUGGGAAUGCAGCUCAAAAUGGGUGGUAAAUUUCAUCUAAAGCUAAAUAUUGGCCAGAGACCGAUAGCGCACAAGUAGAGUGAUCGAAAGAUGAAAAGCACUUUGGAAAGAGAGUUAAACAGUACGUGAAAUUGUUGAAAGGGAAGCGCUUGCAAUCAGACUUGCGCGCCGUUGAUCAUCCGGGGUUCUCCCCGGUGCACUCGGCGGCGCUCAGGCCAGCAUCGGUUCGGGUGGUGGGAUAAAGGCCUUGGGAAUGUAGCUCCUCUCGGGGAGUGUUAUAGCCCUCGGUGCCAUGCCGCCUACCUGGACCGAGGACCGCGCUUCGGCUAGGAUGCUGGCGUAAUGGUUGUAAGCGACC